AUGGCAAAAUUUUGGUGGAGCAGUUCGAUCGACCGGCGUUCCAUGCACUGGAUAGGUUGGAAGUCCUUGUCACUUCCAAAAAUAAGAGGAGGAAUGGGAUUCCGUGAUCUAGAAUGCUUCAAUGUUGCUUUGUUGGGAACACAUGGUUGGAGGCUGAUUACAAGUCCGCAUGCUUUAUGCUCCAGGGUGCUAAAAGGUCGUUACUUCCCAACGACAGAUUUCAUGCAUGCUACUGUUCCACGCAAUUCUUUGGCUAGCUGGCGAGCGAUAGUUGCAGGAAGGGCAACAUUGGAGGCUGGACUACUAAAUAGGAUCGGGGAUGGCUCCUCUAUAAGAAUCUGGGAAGAUAGAUGGCUCCCAGGGAGAUUAUCACUAUGA
Molecule: ribosomal RNA, 378 nt
Filed under: Triticum aestivum (bread wheat)
Lineage: Eukaryota; Viridiplantae; Streptophyta; Magnoliopsida; Poales; Poaceae
Description: partial small subunit ribosomal RNA
Source: RNAcentral